This is a long non-coding RNA of Homo sapiens (human), 1429 nucleotides long. Ensembl annotates it as MIR924 host gene. Its record names the gene MIR924HG. The record is from Ensembl. NCBI's taxonomy places the organism in Eukaryota, Metazoa, Chordata, Mammalia, Primates, Hominidae.
GUGUGGAACUUGGGAUUCGAACGGCAGGCGGGAAGUGCUCUAGCAGGGGAGUCUGACCUUGUGAGGGAAUACCUGUGUCCCCCCUUUUUUCCCCUUUUUACCCAAUAAAACCCUGCCUUACUCACCCUUUAAAUCAUCUGCGAGCCUGAAUUUUCAUGGCCGUGGGACGGACAAGAACUUUAUCUUCAGCUGAACUAAGAAAAAGUCCUGCAACAUUUUUGGCGCGCAAUGUGGGGGCACCAGAAGCGGGCACCGUUGAGCUGUUGCAACUGUUCUGCUGGAGCCUUAUGUAUGUGGUUGAAACCACCUGUACUACUGGAAUGAAAGCACCUUUACAGAAGAGGCAAUGCAAGUUGUAUUCAUCACAUGUGUAGAAUGAAUUAAGAUUUAUGCCAGUUGCAAAGAAGAAUAUUGGCUCACUAUUUUUCCUCUGGGCAUGUGGAAAUGUAAAUCAGUCCAUGUUACUCACCUCGGAGAAGCAGAAGUACGAUUUACUAUUGUUGCUUGCUUACUUACUCUUAUCAAUUUCUAUGAGAGAGUUGUACUGCGACAUUAGCUCUUUUGACUAGAUGUGAUGACAGACUGUCUUUGGUCCAUUCUCUUUUAUUGCCUUGGAAGAGAAUAAAUGAGGAGUAGUUCUCACCCAUUGCAGCUGAGGCAUCACACCUGUAAUGGGAUUAACAAGAUGAUAAUAUAUCUUUUGCCAAGACCACAUACUAGCAGCAAUGUUAUUUAUGAACAACAAAAUUAUAGAAAAAGUGAGAAAAAGUCAAUUAUCAAUUAUUUUCUGAUGAACAACAACAAAGACAAAAAAAUGGUGGGAUUGAUUUAUUUUCCCCUGACAGAAUUGAUUGUUUCUUUAGGUUCUAUGCAACUUGCAGACUCACUGAGGGUGAAUGGAAUGUGCUGAAAAUUCAGCCUGACUUGGCAGCUCCAAGGGACACACCUCAAUGUAGAGAAAGCAGGAAUUAGAGAUGAGGUUUUUUAAUCCCUGUCUCAGUUUUGCCUUAUAGAUGAACCACAAUGAGUCUCAAGCAAUCUGAGUUGAAGUAAGUUGGUAUUAAGCAGGAGUGGUUUGGCCAUGAGUAUAAAAAUCUAGUUGUGUCUUACCAGUGGAUGAGGAGGCAACAGCCUGUGCUACCUCAUUUGGGAGAGGGUGAGCAAUACCUCAUUCUGAAAGGUGACAUGUAUUCCAUCAAUGGAAAUCACUGAGUUCAUACUCCACCAUUAGUGGCUUUACCAUUGGUCUUCCUCAAGGCUGUCAGAGAACUAGUAACUUGUAUGGAAAGGAGUAUGCAGGUAUAGACAGAAGAAGGGUUUGAAAAAGGGAGUCGGAGGAUAUUAAAAACAAAUCUUAUCAGUCACAUUUUCAUGUAGGCCUGCCUUGCAGGAACCAGUUACAAAAAUUAAAAAAAAAAAAAAAAAAAAA